Passer domesticus (house sparrow) is the source of this 413-nucleotide long non-coding RNA. RefSeq lists it as uncharacterized. The record is from RefSeq and is a predicted model, not a curated record. NCBI's taxonomy places the organism in Eukaryota, Metazoa, Chordata, Aves, Passeriformes, Passeridae. The transcript has 4 exons.
GCAAGUCAGAACGGCCUUCUGGGGACAGUAUCACAGACCCCAGCAACACAACACCCUGAAAAGGAUAUAUGGAACCUCCUGGCUUUUUUCUCUUCUGUUAAACAACUUCAGAGAUACAUUUUCUCUUUCUCUGAGCUGUUUGGUGUCUGCCUUACAGUUAGUCCUCAGUCAUCUGAACAUUUGGCCCAGGGAACAGUAUGGAAAUGUCAUAGUUUCAGCUGCAGCAACAAUGUAUGAAGAGGAAACACUAUAAAGAGGAACAAAGAGCUAGUGAAUUCAAAUCCCUCUGCAACAAUUUUACUAGCAAGUCAAACUUUUCCUACCCCGCAAAUGUCUGUCCUAAUUAUGCAAAAGAAAAAUGAAGAAUGCAACACAGCACUAAAACAGAGUAGUACUGGAAAAUAAAUUAAGCU